Molecule: long non-coding RNA, 600 nt
Filed under: Phoenix dactylifera (date palm)
Lineage: Eukaryota; Viridiplantae; Streptophyta; Magnoliopsida; Arecales; Arecaceae
Description: long non-coding RNA (PDAC_LNC020885)
Source: RNAcentral
GUGCCAGUGCAGUGCAAUACAAUACAGACUGGUGUACUUAUACUGUUUUAUGUCAAUGGUAUGGUAUGAUAUGGUCAGUAUGACUGGUGCAACAUGGUACUUAAAACCUUGGUUUAAUGCCACUAAGCAUGGUUCUUUUCAUUUUUCUUUACAUGUUUCCUUUGCUGAUAUUUUUUUGUCCCUUAACUAUUAUGCUUCUCUAAUAAACCUGUUGACGUCAAGAUAUGCCGAACCGGUACCAGUCGGCGUACCGGUGGAGAUCCGAACCGGUUCGGGUGGUUCGGCCGGGUUUCGGCUACGACGAUAUUUUUUUUUUGGAGAGUUCUCUCUUUUUGGAUCUUUUUGUAUGAAAUUAAGUCAUUUGUUAUUUUUUUGAUGUUUUUUGAUGUUUCUAUGUUUAGAUUUAAGGUCUAAGCUAGAUGAUGUAUCUUAUUACUUCUAAAUGAUACAAAUUAUAAAAUGAAGAACAUAAAAUAUCUUCAAAUUAAGAUACAAUCAAUUACAUACAUUUAAACCACUCUCGGAUAUCUAAAAUCGGGUCAGAUGGCGAUGGUCCUCGUUGAUAUUCGGAUCAUAACUAUAGUCAGGAGGAGGUAGAUU